This 339-nucleotide ribosomal RNA is filed under the name uncultured soil bacterium. Its description in RNAcentral is "bacterial SSU rRNA". It matches the Rfam family "Bacterial small subunit ribosomal RNA", at positions 27 to 363 of the family's 1533-position model. The record is from RNAcentral.
GGAGUGAACGCUGGCGGCAGGCCUAACACAUGCAAGUCGAACGGCAGCACAGCAGAGCUUGCUCUGUGGGUGGCGAGUGGCGGACGGGUGAGGAUAACGUCGGAAUCUGCCUAUUUGUGGGGGAUAACGUAGGGAAACUUACGCUAAUACCGCAUACGACCUACGGGUGAAAGCGGAGGACCUUCGGGCUUCGCGCAGAUAGAUGAGCCGACGUCGGAUUAGCUAGUUGGCGGGUAAAGGCCCACCAAGGCGACGAUCCGUAGCUGGUCUGAGAGGAUGAUCAGCCACACUGGAACUGAGACACGGUCCAGACUCCUACGGGAGCAGCAGUGGGGAAUA